RNAcentral lists this long non-coding RNA (245 nucleotides) under Trifolium pratense (red clover). RNAcentral's name for it is "long non-coding RNA (TPRA_LNC004738)". The record is from RNAcentral. Lineage: Eukaryota; Viridiplantae; Streptophyta; Magnoliopsida; Fabales; Fabaceae.
UCCAUAGCUUCGACGGUCCAUGACUUCAAAUUAGGGAGGAUAUUUCAGACUUGUUUCACCCCAACUCCUCUUUUGCUCUUUCUUCAACCGAGAAUUAUUCAGAUCAACAAGCAAUGAUUUCACUAUUGUCGGACGGCGAAUGAACUUUAUCUGCUUAUUCCUCCCUUUCUUUCUUUUCUCCUUUCGUGCUCCUUUUGGACCUUCCUUAGAAUCAUCCACACUCUUUUUCCUAAAACUCAUCAUGA